UGCAGUCGAGCGGAUGAAGGGAGCUUGCUCCUGGAUUCAGCGGCGGACGGGUGAGUAAUGCCUAGGAAUCUGCCUGGUAGUGGGGGAUAACGUCCGGAAACGGGCGCUAAUACCGCAUACGUCCUGAGGGAGAAAGUGGGGGAUCUUCGGACCUCACGCUAUCAGAUGAGCCUAGGUCGGAUUAGCUAGUUGGUGGGGUAAAGGCCUACCAAGGCGACGAUCCGUAUCUGGUCUGAGAGGAUGAUCAGUCACACUGGAACUGAGACACGGUCCAGACUCCUACGGGAGGCAGCAGUGGGGAAUAUUGGACAAUGGGCGAAAGCCUGAUCCAGCCAUGCCGCGUGUGUGAAGAAGGUCUUCGGAUUGUAAAGCACUUUAAGUUGGGAGGAAGGGCAGUAAGUUAAUACCUUGCUGUUUUGACGUUACCAACAGAAUAAGCACCGGCUAACUUCGUGCCAGCAGCCGCGGUAAUACGAAGGGUGCAAGCGUUAAUCGGAUUUACUGGGCGUAAAGCGCGCGUAGGUGGUUCAGCAAGUUGGAUGUGAAAUCCCCGGGCUCAACCUGGGAACUGCAUCCAAAACUACUGAGCUAGAGUACGGUAGAGGGUGGUGGAAUUUCCUGUGUAGCGGU
RNAcentral lists this ribosomal RNA (630 nucleotides) under Pseudomonas sp. Horo_6. RNAcentral's name for it is "bacterial SSU rRNA". It matches the Rfam family "Bacterial small subunit ribosomal RNA", at positions 56 to 682 of the family's 1533-position model. The record is from RNAcentral. Lineage: Bacteria; Pseudomonadati; Pseudomonadota; Gammaproteobacteria; Pseudomonadales; Pseudomonadaceae.